This 155-nucleotide ribosomal RNA is filed under the name Somion delectans. Its description in RNAcentral is "partial 28S ribosomal RNA". It matches the Rfam family "Eukaryotic large subunit ribosomal RNA", at positions 1 to 156 of the family's 3401-position model. The record is from RNAcentral. Lineage: Eukaryota; Fungi; Basidiomycota; Agaricomycetes; Polyporales; Cerrenaceae.
CCUCAAAUCAGGUAGGACUACCCGCUGAACUUAAGCAUAUCAAUAAGCGGAGGAAAAGAAACUAACAAGGAUUCCCCUAGUAACUGCGAGUGAAGCGGGAAAAGCUCAAAUUUAAAAUCUGGCAGUCUUUGGCUGUCCGAGUUGUAGUCUGGAGA